This is an RNA transcript of Monopterus albus (swamp eel), 821 nucleotides long. RefSeq lists it as uncharacterized. The record is from RefSeq and is a predicted model, not a curated record. The transcript has 6 exons. Lineage: Eukaryota; Metazoa; Chordata; Actinopteri; Synbranchiformes; Synbranchidae.
GCUCCUGUCUGGUGGCCUCUAGUAAACAGGAGUCCUGCCAGGCCUCACAGGGAGCAGGAUCGAACCUGUUACUGCUGCUGCUGCUAGGGGAUAUAAGCAGCCUGGAACACGGCUUUGAAACACAGCCACCUGCUAUGACUGGACCAGCUGCUCUCACCGCAGCAGACAUGAAGAUAAAGGCCACAGUUGUCUGGACGUAUACUUUAGUCAUCUCCCUGUUGGUACAGUCCUGUCAAGCACACAAGCUGAAUAUCCACUGGGGACCUCAGUCCAUGAUGUACUUGAAGGGCAAAUAUGGCAGGAGGUUUGUGUCAGAGGAUGACAACAGUGUUUUGAAGCAGGGUCCGCAGGGCUGGUAUGCGGUGCUCAGAGGUACAGUACCACUUCAUUUGUUUAUGUCAGACUUACUGGCUUUGCUUCCUUAAAACUGCUUUUCCCCAAAUUACUGGUGAUACAUGUGGUGACAAACCCAUUGUACUGUGUCUUCACUGGGUUUUACAGCCUCUUUUAGCUUGUCAUCUGAUUUUACUGCACAUUUAUUAUGUGUCAGGUUCAGUUCUCUUGCCAGCAGCAGCAGCUAGUGUGCAGUGGCUUUUUACAUCUUUUUCAGAGGAACAGCUGGGGACCUCCAUUUGAUGUGGGGACACACUGACCUAGAGUUUACAGUACUGACCAUACAUCCCUGGAUUGAGUCCUGCCAGGGGCCCUCGUUGCAUGUCAUCUCUCUCCCUCCAUGCAUGGCUUUACAUUUGACUGCAUCCAGAGGCUGCAGCUACUGGACUUCAGUAAACCCAGUCACAUCAUAAGCUCAGAGAAAGUCC